UACGUAGGGGGCGAGCGUUGUCCGGAAUUACUGGGCGUAAAGCGCGCGUAGGCGGCGCCAUAAGUCCCGUGUGAAAGCCUCCGGCCCAACCGGAGAGGGUCGCGGGAAACUGUGGGGCUUGGAGUGUCGGAGAGGGAAGUGGAAGUCCCGGAGUAGGGGUGAAAUCCGUAGAGACCGGGCCGAACACCAGUGGCGAAGGCGACUUCCUGGCCGACGACUGACGCUGAGGCGCGAAAGCGUGGGGA
This 245-nucleotide ribosomal RNA is filed under the name uncultured bacterium. RNAcentral describes it as "partial 16S ribosomal RNA". It matches the Rfam family "Bacterial small subunit ribosomal RNA", at positions 524 to 767 of the family's 1533-position model. The record is from RNAcentral.